RNAcentral lists this non-coding RNA (30 nucleotides) under Mus musculus (house mouse). Lineage: Eukaryota; Metazoa; Chordata; Mammalia; Rodentia; Muridae. The record is from RNAcentral.
UAACCCAUGAUAUACUUGCUGGAGAUUGGA